GGUGUUCAGUGACGAGAUCACGGAAUACAGCGCCAGGCAUGGCGCCUGAACCUAAUGAGGAAUAAUUCCAUGCUGCCUUCCUUCUGAACACAAU
Alosa sapidissima (American shad) is the source of this 94-nucleotide small nucleolar RNA. RefSeq annotates it as small nucleolar RNA U83B. The record is from RefSeq and is a predicted model, not a curated record. The transcript has a single exon. NCBI's taxonomy places the organism in Eukaryota, Metazoa, Chordata, Actinopteri, Clupeiformes, Clupeidae.